UGCGCUAGGACCCGCCGCCGCCGGUCGCCGAGGGCUGGUAGGAAGGGAGGAGCGGGAGCGAAAGGGCCCCGGAGACUGGCGCCCGCCGGGGCGCAGCGCGGCAUGUAGCUGCGGGCUCCCGCGCGAGGGUGUCGGCCCGGCCCCGCCAUGGCUGGGACGGACAGCGGGAACCUGAAGACGGUAAGGCUGUGGCGGGACGCCGCCCUGCGCGCCAGGAAGCUGCGGAGCAACCUGCGCCAGCUCAGCCUCAGCGCGGCCAGGGGCUGCCCGGGGACCGACCAGCUCGACUCUCCCGACGCGCCCCAGCUCGUGCUGCCAGCCAACAUCGGGGACAUUGAGGUGCUGAACCUGGGCAACAACGGCCUGGAGGAGGUGCCCGACGGGCUGGGCUCGGCGCUGGGCAGCCUCCGCGUCCUGGUCCUGCGCCGGAACCGCUUCACCCGGCUGCCCCCGGCGGUGGCCGAGCUGGGCCAUCACCUCACCGAGCUGGACGUGAGCCACAACCUGCUGAGCGUCCUAAGCGCCGAGGUGGUGAGUGCCCUGCGCGAGCUGAGGAAGCUCAACCUCGGCCACAACCAGCUGCCCACCCUGCCCGCCCAGCUGGGCGCGCUGGUCCACCUGGAGGAGCUGGAUGUCAGCUUUAACCGUCUGGCGCACCUGCCCGACUCCCUCUCCUGCCUCUCCCGCCUGCGCACCCUCGACGUGGACCACAACCAGCUCACGGCUUUUCCGUGGCAGCUGCUGCAGCUGGCGGCCCUGGAGGAGCUCGACGUGUCCAGCAACCGGCUGCGGGGCCUGCCUGAGGAUAUCAGUGCCCUGCGUGCCCUCAAGAUCCUCUGGCUGAGCGGGACUGAGCUUGGCACCCUGCCCAGCGGCUUCUGCGAGCUGGCCAGCCUGGAGAGCCUCAUGCUGGACAACAACAGGCUGCAGGCUCUGCCCGCCCAGUUCAGCCGCCUGCAGCGACUCAAGAUGCUCAACCUCUCUUCCAACCUCUUGGAGGAGUUCCCUGCCGCGCUGCUGCCCCUGGCUGGUCUGGAGGAGCUCUACCUUAGUCGCAACCAGCUCACUUCCGUGCCGUCCCUGAUCUCGGGCCUGGGCCGUCUUCUCACCCUGUGGCUGGAUAAUAACCGGCUCCGCUACCUGCCUGACUCCAUCGUGGAGCUCACGGGCCUGGAGGAGCUGGUCCUGCAGGGGAACCAGAUCGCUGUGCUGCCAGACAACUUUGGCCGGCUCUCCCGGGUGGGCCUGUGGAAGAUCAGGGACAACCCGCUGAUCCAGCCCCCCUACGAGGUCUGUAUGAAGGGGAUCCCCUACAUCGCAGCUUACCAGAAGGAGCUGGCUCAUUCCCAGCCAGCGGUCCAGCCCCGCCUCAAGCUGCUCCUGAUGGGCCAUAAAGCUGCAGGAAAGACCCUGCUCCGUCACUGCCUCACCGAGGACAGAGUGGAGGGGAACCAAGGAGGAGGGGACAAGGAGAAGAGCCACCCGCCUUCACCUCCUCCCGUGAGCAAGGGCAUCGAGGUGACCAGCUGGACAGCGGAUGCCUCCCGGGGCCUGCGGUUCAUCGUGUAUGACUUAGCCGGGGAUGACAGUUAUGAGGUGAUCCAGCCCUUCUUCCUCUCCCCGGGGGCCCUUUAUGUGCUGGUGGUGAACUUGGCCACCUAUGAGCCGCUCCGCUUUCCCACCACCGUGGGCUCCUUCUUGCAUCGGGUCGGGGCCCGCGUGCCUCACGCCGUGGUGUGCGUUGUGGGCACCCACGCCGACCUCUGCGGGGAGCAGGAGCUGGAGGAGAAGUGUCUGGACAUCCACCGCCAGAUCGCCCUGCAGGAGAAGCGUGACGCCGAGGGGCUGAGCCGUCUGGCCCGGGUGGUGGAUGAGGCGCUGGCCCGGGACUUUGAGCUCCGCUCCGCCAGCCCCCACGCAGCCUACUACGGUGUGUCCGACAAGAACCUUCGGCGGCGCAAGGCCCACUUUCAGUACCUGCUCAACCACCGGCUGCAGAUCCUCUCCCCUGUGCUGCCCGUGAGCUGCAGGGACCCACGCCAGUUACAGCGCCUGCGGGACAAACUGCUCUCAGUGGCCGAGCACCGGGAAAUCUUCCCCAACCUCCACAGAGUACUGCCUCGGUCCUGGCAGGUGCUGGAGGAGCUGCACUUCCAGCCCCCUCAGGCGCAGCGGCUCUGGCUCAGCUGGUGGGACUCGGCUCGCCUGGGCCUGCAGGCCGGCCUAACCGAGGACCGGCUGCAGAGCGCCCUCUCCUACCUGCACGAGAGCGGGAAGCUGCUCUACUUUGAGGACAGCCCGGCCCUCAAGGAGCACGUCUUCCACAACCUCUCCCGCCUCAUCGACAUCCUCAACGUCUUCUUCCAGAGGGAUCCUUCCUUGCUGCUGCAUAAGCUGCUCCUGGGCACCAGCGGCGAGGGCGAGGCUGAGAGCCGGGGUGAAAGCUCCCCGCUGAUGGCGCCGCCCGCCCCAAGCCAGGAUGCGCUCCGGGCCACCCAGCUCCAUCAUUACGUGGAGGGCUUUCUGCUGCAUGGGCUCCUGCCGGCCCACGUCAUCCGGCUGCUGCUGAAGCCUCACAUCCAGGCUCAGCAGGACCUGCAGCUCCUGCUGGAGCUGCUGGAGAAGAUGGGACUCUGUUACUGCCUCAACAAAGCCAAGGGCAAGCCUCUGAAUGGGUCCACGGCCUGGUACAAGUUCCCGUGCUAUGUGCAGAACGAGGUGCCCCACGCGGAGGCCUGGAUUAACGGGACCAACCUGGCCGGGCAGUCCUUUGUGGCUGAGCAGUUGCAGAUUGAAUAUAGUUUUCCCUUCACCUUUCCACCCAGCUUGUUUGCACGCUACAGCGUCCAGAUCAACAGCCAUGUGGUGCACAGGUCGGAUGGCAAACUUCAGAUCUUUGCAUACAGAGGGAAAGUCCCUGUGGUGGUGAGUUACAGACCUGCCAGGGGGGUCCUGCAGCCGGACACCCUGUCCAUUGCCAGCCACGCAUCCUUACCGAACAUAUGGACGGCAUGGCAAGCCAUAACCCCCUUAGUAGAGGAACUGAAUGUCCUACUUCAGGAAUGGCCUGGACUGCACUACACCGUGCACAUUCUCUGUUCUAAGUGCCUUAAGAGAGGGUCACCCAAUCCACACGCUUUCCCAGGAGACAUGUGUUCUGGAGUAAAGAAGCAGUCCCCACUUUGGGGGUACAGGUAUCAGAGGGUGGCAGCAAAAGGGGAGUUGCUGAGUCAGCCCAGACCAGAAGGCGUGGCAGAGAUCAUUUGCCCCAAGAAUGGCAGCGAGCGAGUGAAUGUUGCCUUGGUUUACCCACCCACACCGACUGUGAUCAGCCCAUGUUCCAAGUAUCUCCAUACUUUCUUGGACAAUUAAGUGGAAAAGAUAGUGCUUCUUUCCCUUAUGCCAUCAUUUUUACUGUACCCAAUCUGUGACUUUAGGAGCACCAAUUUUUAAGGGAAGAACGUUGGUGAAAAGCACAGAAACCAGUGACUUUUAUGGCUGUGGAAUUUCCAUGGAGAAAAGAGCAUCAGAACGCACCUGGACCAUCUUUUGUACCCGGCAAACCCUCCACACUCCCUGGCGUGUUCUGUGAAUUUGAGUGCAUGUGUGUUCAGGGUGCUUUCAGGGAGGAAGCACACCUAGCCUGUAGACAAGGUGGGGAGAGGUGGGGUGGGGGAGGGGGGAAGGAUGGGAGAGAAUGUGGAGCAAAUGUUUUACAACCUGAACCUCAGAACUGUGAUCCUCCAAGGAGAGCGCUACUUGAAGAAAAAAAAAAAAAAAAAAAAAAAAAAAAGUCGAAUGGCUUCUCAGGGAUUUUGUUUUCUGUGCACAUAUAAGCCAUAAUUCCAGUACAGGUGGCAGUAUUUAGAGCACUCAGAUUUCAUUUCUGUUAAAUGUGAAAGAGGGAUCGACUGACCAUUCAUUACUGUUCCGUAACUAGUGUAAAAUAUGUAUAUGUUUAUCUUUAUUUUUAUAAUAUGCAAAUACAUUUAAAUUUAUACAGUUUGAAGCUUCUAGAGUUAGUUAACACUGGGUGCAAUAUUCUGAUGAGAACUGUGCCAAGAUGGGGCUGAUUUCUUACUUUAGCAUAGGACCUUUUGUUUAUUCUUUAAUUCUUUGCAGAUUAAAAAAAAGAUACCUAUCUCUCUGCCCAUGGAUUAAGGGUUGGUUCAUAGAGUUUGAAGAUAAUCAGCAAGAACUUUAAACAUGCAUUUCAGGUCAGGCAGUGUCCGUCCUUUUAAAUAAAGGUCCCUGCCUGUAAACUGUUGGGCCGGGUAGGAGGAUUUUUCCUUUUCGGGUAGGAGGAUUUUUCCUUUUCUUUGCCCCCACGUAUCACUAGUGCUGGGCAGAGUCUUCCUUGCUCCAGGCUUUGUGAUGACUGUGAGAUGUUACUGGGUGAUAGGCUGAUGGAGGCCUGGGGGUUAAGCUUCUUCAGGGGAUGGGGAUUAAGGGAUCCACAAAUCCAAGGAAAAGCAGAGUCUUGCAAUAGCUUCAGAUAAUCAGGAGUCAGUUCUAAAGCAUGUAAAGACUCUGCUAAUAAGUCCUUUCUUUUCUGCCCCCAGAACAGAGUCUGUGAAAGCACUCUGAAAGCCCUCCACAUCUGGUGUCAGACCGUAAGAUAGUGAGUUGCCUAACUGGAGAGCAUAAGCCCACAUUGGUUAUUUUAUAAAUACAGAGCCUCUGAUUGGAUGGUCUACUGCCAAGAACUAGUAAAACCCUGGUUUUAAAAUCUCCACGAGGUAAAACUUAAAAAGCCAACCAACCAAACUGCUCUCUCUUCUCCUCCUCAUCGGGGCCAAACAGCAUCUGCUGCGAUAGUAACACAUUCUUUGAAGAGUGUGCCUGACUCUGUUUACAUCUGCCUCCUAUGCGUGUUGACUGAAAAUGUGUAAAACUGUUUCUCACCCGUUUAAGGCAAGGAAAGUGAGUCAGCUGGUAUUCUUUUACUUCUUCUAUAAAGUAUUGACUCUUGGAAUGCCACAGUAUACGACGUCUCCACAUAUUUUUGAAAGAAGUAACAAAGGAGCAAGCGGCUGCAUUGUGAAAAAUCGCGAAUCAAUUUUUGUAGAUUAUUUUGUGUCCCAGGAGUUAAUAAAGUUAACUCCAGAACCUCAGUUAAGCAAGUAUGACUUCUUAUAAUCAUAAAAUCAAAUGGGAUCAGACUAGUUCUGCAUUUUAAUACUUGAAUAUGACACCUCAAAUUUGCAUUUUCUUUUGGAACAGUCAUGAGAUUCACCUUGUUAAUCCUUUUGUCACAGUUCUCCUGGGCGUGUGUGCAUACGUGUGUGUGUGUAAGUGUAAACUGAAUGGUAACAUUUAAUUGCUUUAUGGACCACUGAAUUGUUGGGCAUAAAAGUUUUUUCAGUCGGCACAGACAGUUCCUGAACUGUCAAAUUAACCGACUUUGACCAGGAAAAGACUUGUAAAUGACUUCAGGCUAACUCCCCAGGGGACCAUAUUAAAUGGAAAAAAAAAGCUCCUUUGGGUGACAUACCCUGCAAAGUAUGUGCUCUUGUCAUGAACACAGAUGCCCACAUUCUUAAUAUCUUAUUUUUGGACAAGUGAUGUUUUGUGCUGUCAUCUGAACCCUAGAGAAGCAGUAUAAGAAGAAAUUUUGGUGUCACAUGUAUUUUAGCAAAAAGGUCAUCAUGAUAGAGGGUCAUGUGACCAAAAGCAGCUCCAGAAAACCUUGAGAACUUGCUUCACAGUCGGGGGAGGGUUGGAGAUACAGAAAACAUUCUGCUCUAUAGGAAUUUUCUUCAUUUAUGCAGGAAAUUCCAUUUUCUCUUUCAACACCUGGGAGACUCAGCCGGGGAGGCUGACAGGCAAUUCAUAAGCACAAGGGGAAUCUUUUCCAACCAAGUCGUCCCUGCCUCGCAAACAAAAGCCCUCCAAGUUUGUUAUGGUUUCUAUUCCUGCAUCUUGUGGUAUCAAAACCACUUCCUGGAAUUGUAAAAGCGCUGCCAGAAUAAAUGUUUUUCCCUCUUCCAAGAAAAAAACGACAGUGCUCAUAUUUGACACUUGUGCACUGGACUCUUUUGAAUGAAUAAAAUGGAAAGGGUUUGGUGUCAUUCCUGAUGAGGUGUG
This is an RNA transcript of Physeter macrocephalus (sperm whale), 6087 nucleotides long. It is a transcript of the gene named multifunctional ROCO family signaling regulator 1, with no coding region annotated. The record is from RefSeq and is a predicted model, not a curated record. The transcript has 5 exons. Lineage: Eukaryota; Metazoa; Chordata; Mammalia; Artiodactyla; Physeteridae.